Molecule: long non-coding RNA, 18039 nt
Filed under: Triticum aestivum (bread wheat)
Lineage: Eukaryota; Viridiplantae; Streptophyta; Magnoliopsida; Poales; Poaceae
Description: long non-coding RNA (TAES_LNC007403)
Source: RNAcentral
UCGUGUAUGCCAAUGAUGUGACGCAGCUUAGCUACUUGUGCGUUUGCACUAAUGAUAAUUUAGCCGUGGUUGCUUGUCUAUGGUACUGAACUGACCAUGUUACUAAACUUGUGUUCUCGCUAAUUCUGUACUUGUGUUCUCGCUAAUUAUGUACUUGUGUUCACUCUUAUGUAUUACAGUGGCCAUGGAUGCACCCGGUGUACAGGAUUCCUUUUCUUUGCUUUAGAACAAUGAUAUUUCUAACAGCAAACAAGUUUUUAAAUUGCUCCAUCAAACAGGAUAGUAUACAAGUGCUCUUCCCAAUAGGUUAUUAGUAUGUAAGUGCUGCAACUUCAGUCCGUCAGUUGAUAUGCCUUUGCAAAGUUUAUGACUGAUAUAGAAUAGAUGCACCAUAUUCAAUAUCUAAAUAUCUUAAAUAUGUUAGGAUUUUACCUGCUAUUUUCUUUGUGACACACAUAUAAGUAGAUUCCUAUUGACUCAUUCGUAAAAUGAUUUGCCGAUGUGACCAACUAAGUUAUUGCAUGUAGUAUAUGUGCUUCCUUUUCGUUGUCAGGUUUAAAAUAUUGUUGUUAAUUGCCCUAAGAGAUCUUGAUUUGGAAUUUGUAUACAUUUUUUCCUGCCGGUUGCAUCCUGUCUAUUGGGAAAAGGUAUAAUAAUUUAUUAUCUAUGUGAUUUUAUUUUCUUUCUUCGGUUCAUUUAUUAGCAAUAUGAACCCUAUUCUCCCUUAGGCAACUUUUCUCACACUUAUUUACUCCUUGCAGAAUGUGGAAAAAGAGACCAAUAUAUACUGUGACCCCUAUUCCCUCGUCAACCUCACUUGAAGCCGUGAACUGACCACUGCUCAUCUCUCAUCUCUCUACUGUUGCUGCUCUUUUUUGUCUCAUGAAGUUAAGACAGAUUGUCGGCGAAAUCAGUGACGCGAUUUCGGUAAAUUAUGAUGAUCCAUCUGGGCAGGCAAGUAAUUACCCUGAUAGUGCCCCCAUCUAUGCUUGUAUGCCUUUUUCAGUUCACCUUGUAGUGUUUUUUUCAGUACACUACUAUAGGAUUUUAUUCAGUUAAAUGAAUUCCAAUAGAAAAAACUGCGGCUGUGUAAUGAUUCUAGAAUUUAUGGUUCUUCUUGCACUUUGUUAUACAUAGCAAAAGUGGUACAGUGAUGAUUCAGCUUGGGUGGGCUCUCAAAGUCGAAGACAUAAUAACCAGUUAUUUAGACCUUUCAAUCACACAAUCACUUGCGGAUAUCCUCUGCUUUUCUUUACACCAAUUAUGUUUAAAAACUUCAAAUUAUAAAAGCAGAUAAGUCCAGGGUUCACCGGCGGAAGUUUGAGAAAAAAGAGAUAAAAGAAAAGGAGAGUUCGGAAAAUGCGCUAGUACUGGUUGCUACUGUGUGCUGGUGCAUGAAGCCCAUACUGCUUGCAUUGGUGCGCUGCUAUUGUUUGUUGGUUCAGCAGGGUGAUGUGAGUGUCUGAGAGAGAUAGCAAAAUGGAAUGAUCUUCUACAUUGACUAAAUCAUGGCACACUCAGUUCAAUUUCUUGAUUUAGUCCAAUUCAAUUCCUAAUUUUGUUUCAGUUCAAAGACUGCUAUCUCUCUCGGUUUCUAUGUUUAAUUACAAAGUCCAUGUACAUUAACAGCAAAUAAAUUCAAGUAUAUCAAUAAAUGGAAGUUCAGGUAUAUGGAAUUUGAUGCUUGUUGGGUGUAUACAGGAGUAUAAAAUGGAUUUUCUUCUUGUUGAAUGAAGUUGAACUUGUUGUUAUGCUUCUGAACUUCUACCCUUUCCCUCAGGUGGGUCACAGAAGCUAUCACAUUCCAGUGUGCACCAUUUUAAUAUGCUUAUUUUGUGCUCCCAUGAAUGUUUUUGGAGCAGUACAAAUACAUCAUCAUAGUGAGUAAAUAUGUGGCACCUUGGGAAGUACUACCAUUAAUGUUUAGAUCAAGUUCAGAACAGAAAACCUAGAAAAAAAUGUGUGCAAAAAGAAACAUCUUCUCUGAUGCUCUAUAAGUACAUGAUAAUUGGCGUUUGGUUGGUAAUUUCCUUGAAAUGCAGUUGCUUGGUAGCUCACUGGACAUCCCUCCCCAUUAUUAGCUGAUGAUGUGGAUGAUUCUGUUUGUUUACUUAACAGGACAGGGACAUUUUCCUCUCUGAUUCUUGAUGUGCCGCCGCCACCAUCUCCCGUCGCGGCCGCCGCGACGCUACCCCAUCUUCGACAGCGACCGCCGCCCUGCCCAAGACCCCCCCGGCACCCUGGAUCCCGCCACCGCCCGCAGCCCAGCCGGCGACGCCGCCAUCUCCCUGCACCGGAUCAAUGCCCACAUCUACACUUGUACACUUUUUUCAGUUGACACCGUAGGUAUUUUUUCAGUACACGUUGUCGGGUUUUUUCAGUUCAAUAGAAUCCAAAUAGAAAAAAAUUGCGGCUGGGCGAGGAUUCAUUAGUUCAUGGAGCAAAAAGUUGUACGGUGUUGAUUCAGCUUCUGUACUUUUUCUUGUUUCAGACAUUUGGUACCUCUUGUCAACUAGAUAUGUUAAUACAUGUGCCCAUGUGCCAAAAGAGGUUGAGCUGCCUGUCCAAACUAAGUACAGUUCAUUAACAAAUAGCUUCAGUAGUUUAUCAGUACAUGUCUGUUAGCAAAAUUCAUGUUACAAAUGUUUACGUACUUCCAUUUUACAAUAAAUAGAUGGCAUUUGUUGCUCCAAUUGUGGAGAAAAUGCAGUGAAAAAUAAAUAAAUUGUGCUUUCAAAAAUUCGUUUGCAGAGAAUUAUUGUGUUUAAGUUGUUCUUGUACUGCAAAAACUGUAAGGGCAGCCCCAGUGCAUGUAGCUCCCGCUUGCGCAGGGUCUGGGGAAGGGUCCGACCACUUUGGGUCUAUUGCACGCAGCCUUUCCCUACAUUUCUGUAAGAGGCUGUUUCCAGGACUUGAACCCGUGACCUCAUGGUCACAAGGUACUGCAAAAACUGUGUCAUGAUUUUUUGCAAAGUAGUUUGUGUGAAAAAGGGGAAAAGAAGACAUGUUUUCUAGUUGCAAGCAUGAUGCUCUUUAGGUGUUUGUUGUUAAUGCAGAAAACAGUUUUUAAUACCGAAGAACAACCUUAGCGAGAAGUUCAUGUUUAGAAAGUUGGUAGGUUUGUAGAUAGAAACUUAACAAAUAUUGUCCAUAUUAGUAUUGAUCGAGUAUCAUGUAUGCAUUAGUCCUAAAUACUUUGUUCAUUGUGAUCAGGGAUAAUACAAAAAGCAUAUCCUUCAGUUCUGUAGAUAUGUUACAACCUCUCCGAACAUGUCUCCACCGACGUUCUCGGCGCCGUCCACAACUUCAUCGUGUGAGAGCUUCUGCUCCAGAUCCUCUUCCUCCAUGGUGCCCACCCGCUGUGAUGACCAGGUCUGCAACCGAAACUGAAGCAUAGUGUUCAUGGAACCAAACUGAAGCAAUGCAACGAGAAAGUACAAAAACAUGGACUGAAGUACCUUGUCCUGAAGCUCCUAUAGCCACUUCUUUGCCUGGAUGUAGGAAUCUGAUAGAAAAAACAAGGUGUGUCCCUCUACAUAUUCAAGAGGAAAAAUUGAUUGCUGAAAAUGCUUGUGUUUAUAGAAUUUAAUUUUUCUAUAUGUUUCUUAUUUUAAUUCAGCCCAAUAUCUAAUUUUAGUUCAGUUCAAUUAUCAUUUUGGUUUAAGUUCAAGUCAAUUCUUAUUUUAUUUUAUCGUCUCGUGCUUCCAUCCAUUCUGUGGUCUAGAGCAGCCAUCGUGGUGUUUGUGCCUUCUAACUUGUGCAGAUUGAUUUCUUGGCACAUUGUCUUGUGCAUGUGUGUGGCAUUAAUAGACCGUCUAAAGGAGAACGGUGUUCUAGAUUAAAUUCAUCCAUUUGUCAGUGCGAGUUUAUUCUUUUUUGUCAGGCUUAUAGUUCAACUAUGGGUUUGUUUGGACUUGUAAGAUUCAAUUGACAACCACUACUAUGCAAUGAUAUUUCGGUACUAUUAACAUAAACAUAGAGCCUCAAAUGGUAAAUUUCCGACCCUUGUAACCUUAGGUACUACUACAAAGCAGAAAGGAUCUCUGUAAGUUACUCCCUCCGUCCCAUAACGUAAGACGUUUUUUGACACUACACUACAUUAUGGGACGGAGGGAGUAGUUAAUAGCACCAUGAUGUGCCUGUUGUGCUGCAAGACUGCUAGUUCUUCAACUAAAAAUAAAUAUACAUUUCGCUUGGCAUGCUUUCUGGAUGUGGUAUUACAUGAUACAGUCCCAAAAAAGUAUAAAUUUCUUCUAUUGUCAGUUCAAUUUUCUCUAGUAUGUAUGUUCUGAAGAUGAUGAGAGAAUGGUCUGGUGGAGAUCAUGCAUGUUUGUUUGCUUUUUAUCAUGAUAUAUAAAAAGAUACUGGUAGCUCUAGUACCUAUACUACAACAGCUCAUUGAAAAAAAAAAUCAGUUCAAUACAUACUUGGAAAAAAGUUCAAUACUAAGUGUUCUCUGCCUAUCCUUACAUUAGCUAGUCUUCAAUAUGUCCAAAUAGUGCCUAGAAGAAGUUAACUCAUGCAUUUCCAUAAAACUAUGUACUGAUAAAUCAGAACUCAUGCAUUUCCAUAAAAUUCUGUAAGUAUCGUGUGUGUGCUGUUACAAAUCUGAAAUAUUUUUCCAAUCAUACUAUUGAUGCAAUCAUGUGACGCCCGGAUAAUUAAGCUACAGUAACCAUCUACUAAUGAUGCCAUGUCACCUCGAUUACUGAUGCUAAUCUCGCGUUAGUUCAAAACCGGUCCAAAAUUUAAAUUCAAAAUGUGACAAACAAGGAAAGUUUUCAAAAAAUUGAAACAAAAAUGUUCGGCCUGUGCCAAUUAUUGCAUAAGUAAUUAAGGUGAGGUAAACACAAUUUUAGAAAAUGUCUAAAUACUAUUAGAUGAAUAAAACAGUAGCGAAAACUAUUAUCUAAAUACUUUUAAAUAUUAAAUAACUACAAAACUAUUUUUUUGGGUAGCAAGUUAUUGUGGCAUUAGAAUAAGUAGUUGUACUAUUUUAGGAACUAAUUUUAUAUUUUAUAAAACUAUAACAAAUAGAAAAUAAAACAUAUCAUUAUAAAGCAUGAAUAAAAGAAAAGAGAAACAAAACAACAGACCUAAUCUGCCCCACUUGGCUCGUCUAACUGAAUCCAGCCCAACUCCCCAUCUUAUAUUCCACCUCCUGUUCAUAGGAGGCUGGGUGGCUUCCCCUCGCACGUCCAUGGCCAUGGAUGGCCACGUGCCGGCCAUCCAGUUCCUCCCCAUCGCCUACAAGUCCUCCCCCGACCACCCAGGCCGAACCCUAGCGUUCUUUCCCUCUCCCCCUCGCGCCGCUUUCCUCUUCCGCAUACAUGGCUGAACCACCACCGCCAAGCUCUUUGUCGAUCCCGCGGCCACUGGCCUCCACUCGCCGCGCCAAGGUCUCCAGAAGCUCCGCCGGCGACCGCUACGUCCUCCUCGACCACGAGCUCAAGUCGGGAGCAACUACAUCGUCGGGAUCGAGCUCUGUUUACCUCGGACCACCGCCGGCGUUCGUCUUCGAUUCCGGCGUCAUCGAGCCCUCCCCGAGCCCACUUAGCACCUCUACAGGCUCGCUGUGAGCUCCUCCUCCGUCUCUCCCUAGCCCCACCGUCGAUCCGUCGUGGUAGACCCGUGCCUGCCCGAGGCCGCGAUGGACGGGGGCUUUGCUCCUGUGUGUGCCCGCGCUGUGCCGCUGAUGCUAUCGUCGCUGCUCGUCUGCUACCUGCUGCCGCUGCACCAUGCGUACUGGCGCGGCUCCCCCCGUGCCACUGCUGCUGCUCGCGCUGCCCCUGCCCGCGCUCACUACAGCCGCCGCGCGCCUGUACGCCGCGCUCGCCUUGCUGCUUCCUCUCCUCGAGCUGCUGAUGCUGCUCGCAUACUGUUGCCGCUGCUAUAGCUUAGUUGCUGCCGCUGCCAGUUGCUGCUCUGCUUUGCUGCUUCUAGCCAUGGCUCGCGUGUGUGUAUGUGUGUGUGGUGUGUGUGCGCGCAUGGCCGGCUGACUCUCUGGAUGAGGCCGGCCCUGUUUAGUUUAGUUAGCUGAUUAGUAGUACUAGUUAGGAUAAAUAAUGGUUAGGUGUAGUUCCUAUGACAUGUGGACCCUGUAAAUUAAAGUAACAAAUUAAAUUAAAAAGUGCCCAAGUCUACGACACACGGGACCCGCUUAUACUAUUCCUAUGUUGACCAGCCAAAUAUUGACUGGGUCAACCUAACUCCCUGGACCCACAUGUCAGCCCCUCUGGUACACUUCUGUGUACCCAGAGCUGGGUGCACCUAGUAUUUCACAUUUAUUUUUGAAUUAAUAAUAAUUCAGAAAAACUUUAAAACUUUGAAAAUUCAUAGAAAUUAGACUGUAGCUCGGAUGAAAAAACUUUGUACAUGAAAGUUGCUUAGAACGACGAGACGAAUCCGGAUGCGCAGCCCGUUUGUCCGCUACACAUCCCUAACAUACCGAACUCGCAACUUUCCCCCUUCCGGCUCCUCUGCCCGAAAACGCAAAACACCGGGGAUACUUUCCCGGAUGUUCCCCACCCUUCGCCGGUAUCACCUCCUACCGCGUUAGGGCAUACCUAGCACCGCGUAUUGCCUUGUUAUAUUUUGUGAUGCUUUGUUUGCUCCAUAUUUACUGUUUCUUCCCCUCUCUUCUUCUCCGGUAGACCCCGAGACCGGCGUUGAUGCGAUUGAGUACGACUACGUCACCGACGACCCCUCCUUGCCAGAGCAACCAGGCAAGCCCCCCCCCUUGAUCACCAGAUAUCGCCUAUUCUCCUCUAUACUGCUUGCAUUAGAGUAGUGUAGCAUGUUACUGCUUUCCGUUAAUCCUAUUCCGAUGCAUAGCCUGACAUUGUUGCUACAUCUGUUGAUACCUUAUCUGCAAUCCUAAAUACUUAGUAUAGGAUGCUAGUUUAUCAUCUGUGGCUCUACAUUCUUGUCAGUCUGCCUUGCUAUACUAUUGGGCCGUGAUCACUCGGGAGAUGAUCACGGGUAUAUACUAUACAUAUAUACAUACUACAGAUGGUGACUAAAGUCGGGUCAGCUCGAUGAGUACCCGCAAGUGAUUCUGAUGAGGGGACUGAAAGGACAGGUGGCUCCAUCCCGGUAGAGGUGGGCCUGGGUUCCCGACGGCCCUCGACUGUUACUUGUGGCGGAGCGACAGGGCAGGUUGAGACCACCUAGGAGACAGGUGGGCCUGGCCCUGUUCGGCGUUCGCGGAUACUUAACACGCUUAACGAGAUCUUGGUAUUUGAUCUGAGUCUGGCUACUGGCCUAUACGCACUAACCAACUACGCGGGAACAGUUAUGGGCACUCGACGUCGUGGUAUCAGCCGAAGCCUUCUUGACGUCAGCGACGGAGUGGUGCGCGCCGGAUUGGACUAGAACGCCUACUCUUGUAUAAGAGAGGCUAGGUCUGCUUUCGGCCGCCCUCGCAACGUGCAGGUGUGCAAUGGGCGAUGGGCCCAGACCCCUGCGUGCAUAGGAUUUAGACCGGCGUGCUGACCUCUUUGUUGUGCCUAGGUGGGGCUGCGACGUGUUGAUCUUCCGAGGCCGGGCAUGACCCAGGAAAGUGUGUCCGGCCAAAUGGGAUCGAGCGUGUUGGGUUAUGUGGUGCACCCCUGCAGGGAAGUUAAUAUAUUUGAAUAGCCGUGAUCUUCGGUAACAGGACGACUUGGAGUUGUACCUUGACCUUAUGACAACUAGAACCGGAUACUUAAUAAAACACACCUAGACAAGUUCCGCAGACAACCCGGUGAUCGCUUUUCCACAGGGCGACGAGGGGAGGAUCGCCGGGUAGGUUUAUGCUAUGCGAUGCUACUUGGAGGACUUCAAUCUACUCUCUUCUACAUGUUGCAAGACGGAGGCUGCCAGAAGCGUAGUCUUCGACAGGAUUAGCUAUCCCCCCUCUUAUUCCGGCAUUCUGCAGUUCAGUCCACUGAUAUGGCCCUUUACACAUAUACCCGUGCAUAUGUAGUGUAGCUCCUUGCUUGCGAGUACUUUGGAUGAGUACUCACGGUUGCUUUUCUCCCUAUUUUCCCCCUUUCCCUUCUACCUGGUUGUCGCAACCAGAUGCUGGAGCCCUGGAGCCAGACGCCACCGUCGACGACGACUACUACUCUGGAGGUGCCUACUACUACAUGCAGGCCGCUGACGAUGACCGGGAGUAGCUGAGGAGGAUCCCAGGCAGGAGGCCUGCGCCUCUUUCGAUCUGUAUCCCAGUUUGUGCUAGCCUUCUUAAGGCAAACUUGUUUAACUUAUGUCUGUACUCAGAUAUUGUUGCUUCCGCUGACUCGUCUAUGAUCGAGCACUUGUAUUCGGGCCCUCGAGGCCCCUGGCUUGUAUUAUGAUGCUUGUAUGACUUAUUUAUGUUUCUUUAGAGUUGUGUUGUGAUAUCUUCCCGUGAGUCCCUGAUCUUGAUCGUACACGUUUGCGUGCAUGAUUAGUGUAUGAUUGAAUCGGGGCGUUACAAGUUGGUAUCAGAGCCGACUGCCUGUAGGAAUCCCCCUUUCCAACUCCUUGGCUAAAGUUGAGUCUAGUCGAUGAAAAUUGUUUUACUAACUUGGCUGUGCGGCCCAUGGGCCCACGUCGCCAAUUGGGUGGUAUUAGGAUCUUUUAUUCCUCGACCUAUACUCUGGGACUCUAAUCUCUCCUUUAUUCGGGUUAAAUGAUUUUCUAAAAAUCUAACUUUAGGUUCUCGAAAAUACUUUCUCUCGGAGAGCCCCUCACUCCCGAUGAUCGUUUGUUACACCAGAAGAUUCUGAAGAUACUCGCUGAAGUUCUCUCGAGACUUUGUGCCCACUUCUUUUGCAAUUCCCUACCACCGAUAAAUCCUUAUAGAUAACUUAUUACCCUUGCCAUUCUUACAUUCAUCCCUAGCUGCUCUUGUUAUUACAAGAUGCAUCAAAUUGAUCUUCAACUUUUAAGAAUCUUUUGAGCCAUUGCAUUGCAAAUCUUUGCCACAUGAAUACCCCCUAUGGAUAACUCCUCACACUUACCGAGUAUCCGUUCUUUCAACGUUGUUCAUGUGUUCCACAGUGGUCUUUGAAAUACUAUUCGAUAAUCCAAAAAUCAUUAGUAGCUUAUUGCUCUGCAAUACUUGUCUGCUUGCAUUUUGGAUGCUUUCCAUAUGUCUGGCAUUAUUCGUUAGUAUCCUUAGGCACCGUCAUUUUGAUCCUAUUGAUUCAACAUGAGUGCGAAUGCACGCAAUCAUCAGUUGAUCCUUUUAAAUUAUCUUUCCGACUCAGACAUCACUUUAAACAUGAGCUUGAUCUCGACCAAUCAAAUUGUUGUCGAUUUUACCCCUAAGCUUACUCAACCUAUCCAUCCUUAAUCAGAGCGUUUGCUUCUGAUCCUUUGAUUUGGUAAUCAUAAUUCCUUUACAUGUGAGCUUUGAUUUAGUCAGUUGCUUCUAUAAUCCAAUGCCUUCGCAUUGUUUCUUCCUCUGGUUGUGUGACGAUACUCACAUCAGUUUCACUAUGGACCGUCGGAUCCUUUGUUGAAAUAUCAUCCGACAGUGUCCUUCGUAUACAAAAACCUCGAGAAGUUCUUUCCUGGUACAUAAUGCCUUGGGUAAAUUGUAUCCUCUGGUUUUGUCAACCAUGCUCUACUAUCGAGCUUGUGUUAUUUACUAUUGAAGCUUGAGGGUUAUGCUUCCACGAUACCCUGAUGGGUUGAACCUAUGCCUUCCUUAAUAUGUGUGAACUCGAAAGUUUUCACGAGUCAUACUUAUCUGGUAUUGCACCAGGUAAAACUUUCAAGAACUAAUGUUAUUUUUGAAAUACGAGAGGUGAAUGGAAGGUUAUGCAUUGACAAAGUGGGAGUCGACCAUGAACUUUGUGCUCAUGCCCAUGGGCACGAUGUAGAUCCUAUCAUGGAAGCUUCUUGAAAUAAUAACCAUUUCCUUAAUAAUAUCAUCUGGUAUCUGUGAAUUGAUCCUUUGCAAUCGUGGUUCCGACCAUGAUCUUCUUUAAAUACCAUUUCUCGUGCAUGUUUAAGCACUUACCUUCUAUAGAGCAAUACCCCAGUCCAAGCUCUACUUUGGACUGUCGUCGAGUAUUACCCCCCUGGUAUCUCGAGAUUAUCUUGGAACUGCAUAACUUCUUAUGAGUUCUUCAUCAAGUACUACAUUCUCACUGAUUACAAUUUUUCAUGGACUCUGAGUUAUUAAACACUCAAAGACACCAAUAACUGAACCGAGUCCGCACUACAGUUCAACUACUCUUAGUAAUCUUCUUUAAGUACGAGUUUGUACCCGAUCAAGCCAUUCCUAGCCUGAUCGGCUAUAUCCUUAUCGUGCAACUUUUUAACUGUGCUACAUGGUCCUUAUUCCCGGAGCACCACUUUCGACGAUGAGCUAAGCUUACAUUGAUUUUUCUCGUCAUAGCAUUUCACCUUGAACAACAAGCUUGAUUUUGAGUUCGUGUCGUACUCAUGGUUCCAAUAACCUUUCGCUUCGGCAUUCCUUUGACUUGAUGUCAUCGCCGAGCGGUUACACCUUCUUGAAACCUCUCGACACAGUUGUCGGGAUCAUCAUCAACAUUUUGAAUCCUUCCUGGGCAUCAAUUGAAUUCAUGAUGGUAAGUGCCAUCCUCGUCCCUUGGUAAUUUGAGUUACCAUCGACAACAUAUUUACCUUCCUUUCAUCACAAACUUGUUCUUGUUAAGGAUGCAACUUGCGAUUCAGUUUGUGUUACGUUCUACCUUGAAGUAUUACUGUCCCUUAUGUCAAGGAUGUCGCAAGGAUUACUCCACCUCUUAAGAAUUCUGGGUAUUGUGAUGCCCUCUCUCCAUCACCCUUCUUCUUGUGUCCUCGUGUUGAUUCCAACCAAGGUACCAACAAGUGAGCGGUGCUGUUUGGAUUCCGCCCUUUUAGCAACCCUAUUGCUUUGAAGUUAAUGGUCGGUCGUUCAUUCUUAGACUAUUGAUUAUUGAAUCACCAUUCCAAUGUUGGCCGUGCAACCCGACCCAUAUUCUGGGUGCACCUUUCAACCAUUGUUAAAUUGUGUAUGUUUUCCUCAAGCAUACAUCAAUAUAUCUUUUUGAUCUGACAAAUGUUAUCUCCUUGUUCACAUAAUUGUGGAAAUCCAUCCUUUGGAAAUUUUGAUGAAUUCUCGUUGAGUUCAUCAGCCACCUCCUUGUCCUCUCCUUGGGUUAAUGAUGAACUCUUGUUAAUGGAAAUUACUUCAUAGUUCAUUUCCUGAGAAUCUUACAGUGUCAUCCCGUCAAUUUGUGUUGCACCUUUCUUCUCAGGCAUCCCGAGUCUGAGGUAUCCUGACACCAAUCAAAUCUAAAUCUUGGUCAGAUAUGAUGGUUGGAACAUUUUCCAAGAGUCAGAACAUUGGUCUUUAUAUGACCCGGUAAGGUGAUGUCAUGCCUAGCACACCUGGCCGGAGGACCAAUUGUUAUAGUUUCCAUCUUAGCAAGGUUAACCAUUCUUCCAUGACGAAAUUGUGAAACUUAUUUUAUAAGUUGUUCCUGAUGAAUCCUUUGUAUAUCCAAGUCUGACCUUUGCUUGAAGACCAUGUCAAUGUUAUCUCGAAGCAUGUCUAUGGUACUUCGAUUUUCAACAAAAACAUUUGAAGCCCAAAGCUAAAUGUUUCUUGCCUAGUUAUCCAAACACCAUUGUAUGGGUAACAUCUUGAUUAAUCCUUGCCUCUUUUCUGAAUGGUUGGGUACUUUCUCUCCUACCCUGUAUGCCAUGUUAUGCUUGUACAUGGAAAGGAUAUUGUCCUAAUAAUUGUGUGUAAUCAUAAUUUUUCUUUCCAUUGUUCUGUUUAAUCUGAUAAUCACGUUUUCCUUUCCAUUCUUUUGUUUAGCCUUUCCUGUAAUCUGACUUAACUGAGUAGAGAUAAUUCCCUGCUUAGGUAAGCACCUUGUUGUACUGCUCUGUCUGUAAGACCCUGUUACUAUUGUUGAUGACAUUCCGGCAGCCGCCGAUGGACGAGAACUUUGCCUAUUGGUCCGCCUCGUUCAACGAGCAGGAAAAUAGUUCUCUUCGUCCCUCGCCCUUGGUACCAAUGAUGCAGUCAACAUAACUGACCAGCUACCCUCUAACAUGCCUUGCUAUCAUGACCGUGCAAGAUGUCACCACCCUUCCUACUUUCAACCCACAUGGUGGGCCCAUAACCCACAAGUUCCAUAGGAUCGAAACCUGACUCUCCUGUACACACCCUGUUGUCAAGGUUAUUCCUCGAGCUUGACUUCGUAUGUAAUUCACGGGCUACAUGCCUAGUAAUCUGUUCUGGUAUCAGACGCAAUACUUACUCUUACUGCUCUGAACCCCUUUCUCACUCUGGUUCAGGCUUCGAGCAACUAUCUAUCCGCUGGGAACCUCUUAUUGUACCUUCGUACCUUACUCUCGAUGUAUUUUUAUAUGUUCAACUCGAGAGAUAAUCUUGUGCUCAUUCAUGGGUUAACCCCAAAUUGUUUUCCCUCAUAAGCAUUCUGUCGUAGCCGAGCUGCCCCUUACCUAUUCGUAAGUACGUUGCAGAUUUCGAAGAAAGGAUGACGACUUGAUCAUGGUGACUUGAAGUAGAGAAAUGAAGACAAUAACGAAAGGGAUCAACCUCUUCGAAAGGGCAGCCAAGACCGAGAAGACUCGUUAGGUUUUCGCUACCAACACUUCCCCCCCCCCUUACUCCACCGCUUAAAUCUCGGGACGAAAUUUCUUGUAGUGGAGGAGAAUUGUGACGCCCGGAUAAUUAAGCUACAGUAACCAUCUACUAAUGAUGCCAUGUCACCUCGAUUACUGAUGCUAAUCUCGCGUUAGUUCAAAACCGGUCCAAAAUUCAAAUUCAAAAUGUGACAAACAAGGAAAGUUUUCAAAAAAUUGAAACAAAAAUGUUCGGGCUGUGCCAAUUAUUGCAUAAGUAAUUGAGGUGAGGUAAACACAAUUUUAGAAAAUGUCUAAAUACUAUUAGAUGAAUAAAACAGUAGCGAAAACUAUUAUCUAAAUACUUUUAAAUAUUAAAUAACUACAAAACUAUUUUUUUUGCGUAGCAAGUUAUUGUGGCAUUAGAAUAAGUAGUAGUAAUAUUUUAGGAACUAAUUUUAUAUUUUAUAAAACUAUAACAAAUAGAAAAUAAAACAUACCAUUAUAAAGCAUGAAUAAAAGAAAAGAGAAACAAAACAACAGACCUAAUCUGCCCCACUUGGCCCGUCUAACUGAAUCCAGCCCAACUCCCCCUCUUAUCUUCCACCUCCUUUUCAUAGGAGGCUGGGUGACUUCCCCUCACACGUCCAUGGCCAUGGAUGGCCACGUGCCGGCCAUCCAGUUCCUCCCCAUCGCCUACAAGUCCUCCCCCGACCACCCAGGCCGAACCCUAGCGUUCUUUCUCUCUCCCCCUCGCGCCGCUUUCCUCUUCCGCAUACAUGGCCAAACCACCACCGCCAAGCUCUUUGUCGAUCCCGCGGCCACUGGCCUCCACUCGCCGCGCCAAGGUGUCCAGAAGCUCCGCCGGCGACCGCUGCGUCCUCCUCGACCAUGAGCUCAAGUCGGGAGCAACUACAUCGUCGGGAUCGAGCUCUGUUUACCUCGGACCACCGCCGGCGUUCGUCUUCGAUUCCGGCGUCAUUGAGCCCUCCCCGAGCCCACUUAGCACCUCUACAGGCUCGCUGUGAGCUCCUCCUCCGUCUCUCCCUAGCCCCACCGUCGAUCCAUCGUCGUAGACCCGUGCCUGCCCGAGGCCGCGAUGGACGGGGGCUUUGCUCCUGUGUGUGCCCGCGCUGUGCCGCUGAUGCUGUCAUCGCUGCUCGUCUGCUACCUGCUGCCGCUGCACCAUGCGUACUAGCGCAGCUCCCCCCGUGCCACUGCUGCUGCUCGCGCCGCCCCUGCCCGCGCUCACUACAGCCGCCGCGUGCCUGUACGCCGCGCUCGCCUUGCCGCUUCCUCUCCUCGAGCUGCUGAUGCUGCUCGCAUACUGUUUCCGCUGCUAUAGCUUAGUUGCUGCCGCUGCCAGUUGCUGCUCUGCUUUGCUGCUUCUAGCCAUGUCUCGCGUGUGUGUAUGUGUGUGUGGUGUGUGUGCGCGCAUGGCCGGCUGACUCUCUGGAUGGGGCCGGCCCUGUUUAGUUUAGUUAGCUGAUUAGUAGUACUAGUUAGGAUAAAUAAUGGUUAGGUGUAGUUCCUAUGACAUGUGGACCCUGUAAAUUAAAGUAACAAAUUAAAUUAAAAAGUGCCCAAGUCUAUGACACAUGGGACCCGCUUAUACUAUUCCUAUGUUGACCAGUCAAAUAUUGACUGGGUCAACCUAACUCCCUGGACCCACAUGUCAGCCCCUCUGGUACACUUCUGUGUACCCAGAGCUGGGUGCACCUAGUAUUUCACAUUUACUUUCGAAUUAAUAAUAAUUCAGAAAAACUUUAAAACUUUGAAAAUUCAUAGAAAUUAGACUGUAGCUCGGAUGAAAAAACUUUGUACAUGAAAGUUGCUUAGAACGACGAGACGAAUCCGGAUACGCAAUCCGUUCGUCCGCCACACAUCCCUAACAUACCGAACUCGCAACUUUCCCCCUUCCGGCUCCUCUGCCCGAAAACGCAAAACACCGGGGAUACUUUCCCGGAUGUUCCCCCCCUUCGCCGGUAUCACCUCCUACCGCGUUAGGGCAUACCUAGCACCGCGUAUUGCCUUGUUAUAUUUUGUGAUGCUUUGUUUGCUCCAUAUUUACUGUUUCUUCCCCUCUCUUCUUCUCCGGUAGACCCCGAGACCGGCAUUGAUGCGAUUGAGUACGACUACGUCACCGACGACCCCUCCUUGCCAGAGCAACCAGGCAAGCCCCCCCCCUUGAUCACCAGAUAUCACCUAUUCUCCUCUAUACUGCUUGCAUUAGAGUAGUGUAGCAUGUUACUGCUUUCCGUUAAUCCUAUUCUGAUGCAUAGCCUGGCAUUGUUGCUACAUCUGUUGAUACCUUAUCUGCAAUCCUAAAUACUUAGUAUAGGAUGCUAGUUUAUCAUCUGUGGCCCUACAUUCUUGUCAGUCUGCCUUGCUAUACUAUUGGGCCGUGAUCACUCAGGAGGUGAUCACGGGUAUAUACUAUACAUAUAUACAUACUACAGAUGGUGACUAAAGCCGGGUCAGCUCGAUUAGUACCUGCAAGUGAUUCUGAUGAGGGGGCUGAAAGGACAGGUGGCUCCAUCCCGGUAGAGGUGGGCCUGGGUUCCCGACGGCCCCCGACUGUUACUUGUGGCGGAGCGACAAGGCAGGUUGAGACCACCUAGGAGACAGGUGGGCCUGGCCCUGUUCGGCGUUCGCGGAUACUUAACACGCUUAACGAGAUCUUGGUAUUUGAUCUGAGUCUGGCUACUGGCCUAUACGCACUAACCAACUACGCGGGAACAGUUAUGGGCACUCGACGUCGUGGUAUCAGCCGAAGCCUUCUUGACGUCAGCGACGGAGCGGCGCGCGCCGGAUUGGACUGGAACGCCUACUCUUGUAUAAGAGAGGCUAGGUCUGCUUUCGGCCGCCCUCGCAACGUGCAGGUGUGCAAUGGGCGAUGGGCCCAGACCCCUGCGCGCAUAGGAUUUAGACCGGCGUGCUGACCUCUCUGUUGUGCCUAGGUGGGGCUGCGACGUGUUGAUCUUCCGAGGCCGGGCAUGACCCAGGAAAGUGUGUCCGGCCAAAUGGGAUCGAGCGUGUUGGGUUAUGUGGUGCACCCCUGCAGGGAAGUUAAUCUAUUCGAAUAGCCGUGAUCUUCGGUAACAGGACGACUUGGAGUUGUACCUUGACCUUAUGACAACUAGAACCGGAUACUUAAUAAAACACACCCAGACAAGUUCCACAGACAACCCGGUGAUCGCUUUUCCACAGGGCGACGAGGGGAGGAUCGCCGGGUAGGUUUAUGCUAUCCGAUGCUACUUGGAGGACUUCAAUCUACUCUCUUCUACAUGCUGCAAGAUGGAGGCUGCCAGAAGCGUAGUCUUCGACAAGAUUAGCUAUCCCCCUCUUAUUCAGGCAUUCUGCAGUUCAGUCCACUGAUAUGACCCUUUACACAUAUACCCAUGCAUAUGUAGUGUAGCUCCUUGCUUGCGAGUACUUUGGAUGAGUACUCACGGUUGCUUUUCUCCCUCUUUUCCCCCUUUCCCUUCUAACUGGUUGUCGCAACCAUAUGCUGGAGCCCUGGAGCCAGACGCCACCGUCGACGACUACUACUACUCUGGAGGUGCCUACUACUACGUGCAGGCCGCUGACGACGACCGGGAGUAGCUUAGGAGGAUCCCAGGCAGGAGGCCUGCGCCUCUUUCGAUCUGUAUCCUAGUUUGUGCUAGCCUUCUUAAGGCAAACUUGUUUAACUUAUGUCUGUACUCAGAUAUUGUUGCUUCCGCUGACUCGUCUAUGAUCGAGCACUUGUAUUCGGGCCCUCGAGGCCCCUGGCUUGUAUUAUGAUGCUUGUAUGACUUGUUUAUGUUUCUUUAGAGUUGUGUUGUGAUAUCUUCCCGUGAGUCCCUGAUUUUGAUCGUACAUGUUUGCAUGCAUGAUUAGUGUACGAUUGAAUCGGGGCGUUACAAAUCACCUAAAAAUGUUGAAGAAAAACUCUACAAGUUUGGUGCGUGUGCUGCCACAAAUCUAAACUUCUUGUCCAGUCAUUCUAGUACUGAUGAAGAUCGAGUUAAAUGAAAUAACCUAGUCGAUUCCUGAGACCCUUACUAAUCCUUCUAUAUAUAGAAGUUGUGCCUGAUAGCCAUACAUGACUUUUGUCUUUGUUCCCUACUUGUUUUUGUAAAAUUCUUUGAACUGAUUUAGGUGAUAUAUUCGGACCCUUGCCUCGUCAGUAGAACAGCACACUCCACAACCGGUCACGAGAAGAGUUACAUGAAGGCCACCCUCUGCUCCGUCCUCGAUCCGGCGUAGUCAUCUCCCUCUCAUCCUCUCUCUGCUCCGUGUGUGUGUGCAGGGAGUGGAAGGAAAUAGUGCAGGGGAGUAGGAGGUCCUUCCAUGGUGAAUUCAUAGGCAUCUUCCAUGGAGAUUGUGAGCUCUCUCGAUUAUUGCUUGAGGAUUUAUGUUGGUCUGUCCACUGUAGUUCCUGUAUAGGGGCAUCCUCUUUUUCUAGUGUUCCUCAUUUGAUGUUGUUGCAGGUGUUUAAUAACCCACUGAUAUGAUUUCUGGAAACAAGCUUCAGUACAGAGAAGCAUCGGUACGAGAAAAAAUGGGUCAUCACUUCAUCCAUAUGCAACCUCCUGCGUGGUCGUCCAUUUUUAUUUGGAGCUACUCGUUGUGUGGUCAUCCAUGUGUGUAUUGUGUUGUCAGGUCGUGUGCAAGUUUGUUACAAGUUCAUUUAUAUGUUGGUAACCACUGUUAUUGCUGCUAGCUAUCGAUCUGACUGUUGUAUUACUUUAGCCCCUUCACUGGCAUCAUCUCCUACUAUUUGCUAGCUUGGCAUUGUAAAAACAUGACAAGUUCACAACUACAGAAGUUGUAAGUUCAAACACGGCGUACCAGAUAACUUUGGGGAAAAAGCUCAGACAAAAAGAAAACACAGAAAUUCAAAUGGUAAAAGUUCCAGUCGCAAAAUGAGAGAAGUUCAAAACAUUGUUGCACAAAAUAUUGAGUUCAACAAAAAAAGGAAACACACAUGAUUUAUUUUUUUUGGAAAAAUAUCAUUCAGUUCAAUGAUAUAAAACAUGCAAGCUCAAACUGUUGACGAAGUUACGGGAUAAACAAAUUUUCCUAUUCAAGUGGAAGCUCCCAGUAUAUGAUGGAUAUGGGAGUUAUUUUUACAUUCACUGUUUUGUGCUUCUCUUUAUGUAAUGUUUUAUGUUUUCAAGUGCUCGAUGAAAAUUUAUGUUCCUAGUAGUUCAUGUAUUAUUGCAUGAGGAGUUCAUGUGUUACUCGCCAGUAAGUAAACCUAUUAAUCACUCUCUCAAGUGUGAUGAAAAAAAUGGGCAGUAAAUUGAUGAAAAAAUAUCAUCGAGUUCAAAACACCCUAGUUCGGGCGUAGUAAGUACCUCAGUACGAGUUAAAAAUGGUGGCCCGUUCGGAAUAAAAGAAAUGGCAGAAAAUCAAAUUGUAAAGUUCAAGCAAAAAAAAAGAAACCCAAUGAAAAUCCUACUUAAUAAG